GGAGACAGCCAGACGAUCGCCGGCCCAUGUCUGUGGGCGGGAGGAAAGUCCGGGCUCCACAGGGCAGGAUGGUCCUUAACGGGGACCGGGGGCGACCUUAGGGAUAGUGCCACAGAGAGAAGACCGCCCGUCGUCGUUUUUGCGAUGGCAGGUAAGGGUGAAAGGGUGAGGUAAGAGCUCACCAGUGUCGGCGGUGACGUCGGCAGCUAGGUAAACCCCAUCCGGAGCAAGGCCAAAUGGGAGUGCUUGAGGACGGCCCGUCCGAAGCUCCCGGGUCAGGCUGCUUGAGGCCGUCGGCAACGGCGGUCCUAGAGGAAUGAUCGUCACUCUGCAGGGGGUAACCGCUACAGAGGACAAAACCCGGCUUACGGUUCUCUCCGACC
Molecule: RNase P RNA, 383 nt
Filed under: Deltaproteobacteria bacterium
Lineage: Bacteria; Pseudomonadati; Myxococcota; Myxococcia
Description: RNase P RNA component class A
Rfam family: Bacterial RNase P class A
About the family: Ribonuclease P (RNase P) is a ubiquitous endoribonuclease, found in archaea, bacteria and eukarya as well as chloroplasts and mitochondria. Its best characterised activity is the generation of mature 5'-ends of tRNAs by cleaving the 5'-leader elements of precursor-tRNAs.
Source: RNAcentral